AGCGAACGCUGGCGGCAGGCCUAACACAUGCAAGUCGAACGAACUCUUCGGAGUUAGUGGCGGACGGGUGAGUAACACGUGGGAACGUGCCUUUAGGUUCGGAAUAACUCAGGGAAACUUGUGCUAAUACCGAAUGUGCCCUUCGGGGGAAAGAUUUAUCGCCUUUAGAGCGGCCCGCGUCUGAUUAGCUAGUUGGUGAGGUAAAGGCUCACCAAGGCGACGAUCAGUAGCUGGUCUGAGAGGAUGAUAAGCCACAUUGGGACUGAGACACGGCCCAAACUCCUACGGGAGGCAGCAGUGGGGAAUCUUGCGCAAUGGGCGAAAGCCUGACGCAGCCAUGCCGCGUGAAUGAUGAAGGUCUUAGGAUUGUAAAAUUCUUUCACCGGGGACGAUAAUGACGGUACCCGGAGAAGAAGCCCCGGCUAACUUCGUG
Molecule: ribosomal RNA, 433 nt
Filed under: uncultured bacterium
Lineage: Bacteria
Description: partial 16S ribosomal RNA
Rfam family: Bacterial small subunit ribosomal RNA
Source: RNAcentral